RNAcentral lists this ribosomal RNA (253 nucleotides) under uncultured bacterium. RNAcentral's name for it is "partial 16S ribosomal RNA". It matches the Rfam family "Bacterial small subunit ribosomal RNA", at positions 524 to 776 of the family's 1533-position model. The record is from RNAcentral.
UACAGGGGGGGCAAGCGUUGUUCGGAAUUACUGGGCGUAAAGGGCUCGUAGGCGGCCAACUAAGUCCGACGUGAAAUCCCAAAGCUUAACUUUGGAACUGCGUCGGAUACUGGAUGGCUUGAAUUCGGGAGAGGGAUGCAGAAUUCCAGGUGUAGCGGUGAAAUGCGUAGAUAUCUGGAGGAAUACCUGAGGUGAAGACGGGUUGCUGGGCUGACACUGACGCUGAGGCGCGAAAGCUAGGGUAGCAAACGGG